RNAcentral lists this ribosomal RNA (314 nucleotides) under uncultured bacterium. RNAcentral's name for it is "bacterial SSU rRNA". It matches the Rfam family "Bacterial small subunit ribosomal RNA", at positions 28 to 334 of the family's 1533-position model. The record is from RNAcentral.
GAUGAACGCUAGCGACAGGCUUAACACAUGCAAGUCGAGGGGCAGCGGGUAAGUAGCUUGCUACUUAUGCCGGCGACCGGCGGACGGGUGCGUAACGCGUAUGUAACCUACCUUUGACAGGGGGAUAACAUCGAGAAAUUGGUACUAAUACCCCAUAACAUCACCGGAGGCAUCUUCGGUGGUUGAAAACUCAGGUGGUCAGAGAUGGACAUGCGUUGUAUUAGCUAGUUGGUGAGGUAACGGCUCACCAAGGCGACGAUACAUAGGGGGACUGAGAGGUCAACCCCCCACAUUGGUACUGAGACACGGACCAA